CUUCAUGUGUGUUCCAUCUAUCACACACCUACAUCCAUAACCCACUUGCUCACUACCUGAAAGAUUAUCUAUUCGAAAGGAGGCAGGACCUGGAAAAGAUGAGCCACUUCACUGCAUUCAUUCUAUUGACAGUUUUAUGUGCAUUUCUUGGUGAAGCUGAAGCAAACCCAUUUGUUUACAACUAUGAGAGACUGCGGAUUGGAGGGAUUAUCUUCACCAUCCUGCUUGUAAUAGGGGCCCUUGUAGUUCUUUUCCAUGACAAGUGCGGGAAAAAGAACAAGAAAAGUGAAGAGGAUAGUCAGAUCUGAAAAUUUCAUGGGGAUUUAACUAAUGUCUGUCUUCUGUUCCCAAGUCAUGGAAAUGUUGCCCUGCGUGGCUAAAUGAGAUGCUUGAUCUGUCUGACUGCUCAAAAUAUGGCUGUUUUUUUCUCGCCUCCCAAAAAGAAGUUGGUAAAAUAGGACUAUUUUUGAUGCAGUCUGAUUCUCUUGGGUAACCAGGGACAAGAACACCUCUUCCAUACUUCCCCUCUAAUGUUAUUUAACUUUAUUUAAACUCUUAUCAUCUCUUCAAAUGCUUUUUAUGUACAAUACAUAGACAGGAUUAAUGGUAGUUAUGCAGAAAAUCAACUGAAAAUAAAAUCAAUUUUAGUCUUUA
Long non-coding RNA from Electrophorus electricus (electric eel), 654 nucleotides. RefSeq lists it as uncharacterized. Lineage: Eukaryota; Metazoa; Chordata; Actinopteri; Gymnotiformes; Gymnotidae. The record is from RefSeq and is a predicted model, not a curated record.